CAGUAGCCGCGGUAAUACGGAGGGUGCAAGCGUUAAUCGGAAUUACUGGGCGUAAAGCGUGCGUAGGCGGCUUCUUAAGUCGGAUGUGAAAUCCCUGAGCUUAACUUAGGAAUUGCAUUCGAUACUGGGAAGCUAGAGUAUGGGAGAGGAUGGUAGAAUUCCAGGUGUAGCGGUGAAAUGCGUAGAGAUCUGGAGGAAUACCGAUGGCGAAGGCAGCCAUCUGGCCUAAUACUGACGCUGAGGUACGAAAGCAUGGGGAGCAAACAGGAUUAGAGACCCCAGUAGUCCCUGUCUCUUAUAC
Molecule: ribosomal RNA, 301 nt
Filed under: uncultured bacterium
Lineage: Bacteria
Description: partial 16S ribosomal RNA
Rfam family: Bacterial small subunit ribosomal RNA
Source: RNAcentral